Molecule: ribosomal RNA, 253 nt
Filed under: uncultured bacterium
Lineage: Bacteria
Description: partial 16S ribosomal RNA
Rfam family: Bacterial small subunit ribosomal RNA
Source: RNAcentral
UACGUAGGGUGCGAGCGUUGUCCGGAAUUACUGGGCGUAAAGAGUUCGUAGGCGGUUUGUCGCGUCGUUCGUGAAAACUUGGGGCUUAACUCCAAGCGUGCGGGCGAUACGGGCAGACUUGAGUACUACAGGGGAGACUGGAAUUCCUGGUGUAGCGGUGAAAUGCGCAGAUAUCAGGAGGAACACCGGUGGCGAAGGCGGGUCUCUGGGUAGUAACUGACGCUGGAGGAACGAAAGCGUGGUAGCGAACAGG